This 274-nucleotide ribosomal RNA is filed under the name uncultured bacterium. RNAcentral describes it as "partial 16S ribosomal RNA". It matches the Rfam family "Archaeal small subunit ribosomal RNA", at positions 473 to 747 of the family's 1478-position model. The record is from RNAcentral.
AAACCAGCACCUCAAGUGGUCAGGAUGAUUAUUGGGCCUAAAGCAUCCGUAGCCGGCUCUGUAAGUUUUCGGUUAAAUCUGUACGCUCAACGUACAGGCUGCUGGGAAUACUGCAGAGCUAGGGAGGGGGAGAGGUAGACGGUACUCGGGAGGAAGUGGUAAAAUGCUUUGAUCUCUCGAUGACCACCUGUGGCGAAGGCGGUCUACCAGAACACGUCCGACGGUGAGGGAUGAAAGCUGGGGGAGCAAACCGGAUUAGAAACCCCAGUAGUCC